Ictidomys tridecemlineatus (thirteen-lined ground squirrel) is the source of this 20415-nucleotide long non-coding RNA. RefSeq lists it as uncharacterized. NCBI's taxonomy places the organism in Eukaryota, Metazoa, Chordata, Mammalia, Rodentia, Sciuridae. The record is from RefSeq and is a predicted model, not a curated record.
UCCUCCCGGGCAGGAACCACCCGGCUCGCGGCGGAGGGUGGGCCGCCGUCACCUGACCGCCCGCCCCCGCCCCCCGCGAGUAAGGGGCGGUGGUAGCGUCUGCUCGGUUACAAAUGGCCCCUCCCGCCCCGCUCGCCCGCUCGCUUGGGCUCGGCGCGGACCCGCCCGGGCGCGCUCCUCCUGCCGGCUCCCGGCAUCCCACCGCCCUGCUCAGCGCUGGCCGGUGAUCCCUGCCGCCCGGGAGCAUCCAGUGUAGAAGCUCGCCCACCCGAGGUCGCGGUGGAAGUCUGGACCGCCAAGCUGUGUGACUUGUUUACUGGCAGGUAUUCCUCUGAUACAGUGGGUAAUGACUCUGCUCUUCAGCCUGAGAGUGGUUCAAAAUAAUGAGGGAUGAAGAUGGAUAUCCCAUUUUGUAUCCAGACAAGGACCAAGAGGCUGAGCAGAACCAACAGGUCAGUCGGUUUUUUUCCAUGCCAGCUGAGAGGGUUCGGAGUUAGCUGCAGUCAUGGCCUUCAGCCAGGCACAUGAUGGCUUGUUUUGAGGCUCAAAAGUGUUUUAGCAACAGGAAAACAGACACAGUGAUGCAGAUUGUAGACUGCUUUAUAAGGCUACAGGAUGGAGCCAAGAGAGGUGGGGCCUCAGCUCUGGGCAUGGAGAUGCAUCUUAACAUCUUGCUGCUCUCUCCCUGCUCCUGAGGAUCCACAUCCUCAGAGGAAGGGUCCUGGAUCUUCUGUGUGCCUCAGAACAUGGUCCUUGCCCAUAUUCAAAUACCUAUGAUUACAGAAAUGCUUUACUUUGAGCCAAGUGUCAGGGAUAUUUGUCUAACAAUUCUGCAUUCAAUUAUGUCCAUAAAUAAUUGCACAAAGAUCUUUUUAAUACAGGGUUUCCAGGGAAGCUCCACGGACCCCUGGUAUACCAUCUUCUGCCUUGGUACAUCUCACCUUCCUGUUCUUCCCAGUUAUAUUUUUGAAUAAGCCCCUACCUGGCGCCUCCAUUUGCAGGAAAACUGCCCCCAACCACCAGGACCUGGAAGGUACUUUCAAAGUAUAGGACUCGAGCCAGGAUUCCAGAGGAAUUGCCUAGCUUUAGAUCUCCUGUAGGGGCCAGCUGAGGUAGAUCUGUGAGCUGCUCCACAUCAGUUUCUGUGCCUGGUCCCAGGGUCUAGAGAGAGGACCCUCCAGGAAGCCACUGCUCCCAGCCCUCAGGAGCCCUGGUUAAGCACACAGAACCAUUUGGACUUGUGAAGUGUUCUUUGAAUUUGCUAGAGAUUUCUCUAAAUAAUGGUCAGGCAGGUAUGAAGGUGAGCCUGAAGCGAGUCUUUGUAGGUGUGAGCAUGUACGUGCAAUCUCUCACAGCUCACGGCGGCGGAUAUGAGAGGCGGUGACUCAUUGGUUCACUCAUUCGAGAAACCUGUUCCCCCUUUCCUUUCCCCUGCUGUUUGUGGUGGUAGAGAGGGAACUUGUUCUGUUCCAGAGCAGGCUUCCUCUUGCCAUUCUGGGGAAACUAUAUUUCAUUCAAGAGGAUUCACCCCUCUGAGGCUAUAUGAGUUGCUGCAAUUUUUUAAAAGAGAAUUUCUUGGGAAAAAAAUACUGGAGAGAAGACAAUGUAAUUUCUCAUGAUGGAGGCCUUAAGACCUUGCAUGAGAAAUGUCCCAGAGCUCUAUCGCCAGGAAUCGUGGGGAAGAAGCAGGACUUUUGAAAAGAAAAAUUAGGUCUCUGCUGAUCACCAGAAAUGUCCCACCAGGCAGUUGAGGUCUCAAUGUCAGUUAGGAUUUUCCAACAGUGACUUCUUUUCUUUCAAGUGAAAAACUGCUUGGUCAAACUUCCCCAUUGCAUAUUUUGUCUGCCCAGAAAGCAUUUUCUGUUCUAGCAACAGAAAUGCCAGGAACCAAGGUAAGGGAGUCUAUUCACCUGCUCCAGAGUUUAGAGCUUUCUAGAGGGCCUCAGGCUGCCCAGAAUAUCUUUGUCCAUGGUCCUGGCAGGACAGGUGAAGUUAGUAACUCUGUGGGUGCUGACCCCCAGGUCAGUGUGUUUAGAAAAGAAUGGGGAUGAGAUUGUCUCGUUUACUUAUUAAUAGGUGUGUAUCACAUACCAGCUUGGGAAAUAUUCCCUUCACUAUCCAUGACUUAAUCUUUGUGUUGCCAAUGUCUCCCUGGGCUUGCAGGGGAGAUGUUUUUUUUUGUUGUUGUUGUUGUUUGUUUUUUGUUUUGUUUUGUUUUGUUUUUUCAGAAGAAAUCCCUUUCCAGAGGUAAAUGCAGAUCUGCCUCUCUUUGCACAGUGGGCAUGUCCCUACAACAAAGUACCUCUCACAUGUGACAUUCAGGUGGCAGGAAACUUGCUUUUUAACCAAGUCCUGCGAGAACUCUCAAAGAAAAGUUCCUGUUCAGGGGAUUUCGUGUUGUUGGAGGCUUCUGGGUGUUGCGCUUCUUUGAAGUAAGAUUUUCCUGCAGGUUGCUUGUGUCUUAAAAUAGUAACAAACAACAUUAUUCAGGAAAGGCAAGGAGCCGACAACCCUGUUGGGAGCUCUUAAUGCCUCAAGUCCUUGUCAGGGCUGAUGAAUGAGGAAGAUUCUCACACCCUUGUGAUCGCCCCCCACUCCACAAACCUAGUACCAGGAUGAUUGAGCUUAAAACAAACAAACAAAAAUACCCCACCUUUAAGCAUUUUUAAAUUCUAUGAAGAAUUUUUAAAAUAUAGCAUCUGAGAGAAAUUGUAUAAAAAUGUCAUGUUUAAAUCCUUUUCAGCAGAGAAACACAAGCACAUCCAUCCCUUGGACAGACCAUGGUGCUGAGCACAUCUGUAAAACCACCAAAGAGACAGGACUUAGCCAACUUUGAUUUGGCUAAAAAAAAAAAAGAAUGAGGCGGAGAAGGGGGAACACAACUGAGCCACCUAAUUCACAUUGUGGAAAAGAGAAAAAGAAUCGCAGACUCCCUCCCCAGUGCUCGGUAGUUCAAAGACAAAAGUGAAUUUUUCUGAUGGUGCAUCAACCAUUUAAAAAAAAAAAAAAUGCUGCUUUGCUCCACAUGGCGCCUGAGCAGCCGCCUCCAUCCUCAAUGCUUAUUAUCAUCAUCUUCUCCCACCCCUCCCCCCAGAAAGCAACACUCUGAUACAGCAAUCCAUCACAGAGGAGCUGUGCCUCCCCGCCUCCUCGCCUCCCUGAGAUUAAUUACAGGCAAGGGCCACGUGUCUGGCUUGGCCUGUGAUUGAUCCUGCAGGAGGAAAUGCAAGGGAUGCCAACGGGAAGCUAAUGCUGCCUUUUAUCCGGUAAGCAAAGUUCAGGGAUGUUUGCAUUUUUCGAGGUAAGCAUGCCUCUCAAGACCCAGGAUGGAUAGACUGUCCUCUCAGCAGGAAUUCUUGCCAAGGCAACACAGAGGUGGGCCUCAGUGGGCCCCACUGGGGCCACAGAGGCCAGACAUUCAGAAGUGCUAAUUUUGCAAAUAGCCUGAUUCCAUCAUGUUUUAAUUAGCAUGAAGUAUUGCAAGCUGAUUCUGUUCAAGAGGUUGGCAAGUGAGAACUGGAUUAAGAUCAGUGCAAUAGACUUGGGAUAUAUAUAUAUAGGAAUUUUCUAAUCACUGAAAUGUGCUAGGUGCUGGAAUUUCCUAAUUUUUGUAGAAAAGGAAUCUUCUCCCCCCCCCCACCCAUACCCCUCCCCACAAACAACUUAGUGCAAGAUUCAUCAAAAUCAUGAAAAGGCAAAUACCGUAGUGGCAAAUACUGUAGCUUGAAACAAAUAAAUGCUAAAGGAGCUCCACCCUCGUCUCAGAUGCUCUCCAGAAGAAAUGGCAUCACACCGAAAAUGUAUUGUGUAGCCUGCUGGCCUAGAGACAGGCAUCUCUGGGCUCAAACAAUAGCUCUGUACCCACCUUCUAGCUACAACCUGGGGUAAGCUGAUUAUCAUUUCCAAGCCUCCAUUUCCUUGUCCUGACACAUCUGAUAACAUUUAGAUUUAAUCUUCCGCACUCGAGGUUAUCAUAAAGAUGUCCAAUGUGUUGGGACAGUUUCAAAUCCACAUAUGCACACCAUCAUUUCAUAACCACUCACAAGUGUUAGCAGGGUUCAGAGGAGAGUAACACAAAAGGGGGCAGGAUGGAGCUGAGGCCGUUUAAAGUAAGAGUCAAACCAGGCUGAGCUACAGAGUUAACAACAAUGAGCACCACUUCUUCUCCUGGGACUGUGUUGGAAGUGGGAUCUGUACUGGCAGCCUUCCUUCCAUUCUUGAACUCUUUCAUCUCCAUGAAGGCCACAGGGAGAUCAAGAGGAUGGAGGAUUGGAGAGGGAGGACCUGGUACAUUGCAAGGGAACCAGGCCCACAAUAGCCAUUAUUUAUGGGAUACUUACUGAUAGAAACAGACCAGGUACUCACAUGAACCUUUUCUAUUAAUCUGCACAGAAACCUCCCUGAAUAUAGCACCAGGUCCCCCAUUUGUAAUUCAAGGAUCAUAAGAAUCACAAAGGUUAAAAAAACAUCCUCAAAGUCACAUAGCAGCAGAAUUCAGUCUCUGGGGAUACGAUUGAAGAUCCUGGGCUUAUCCACCCUGAAAUGCUUCCUCACACCCAUCACUGGCCAGGGUAAUGCAGAGAUCAGUGGCAAGUAGGGAGACCAGAGAGGGUCCUUGGAGCCAAGCAGGAGACUGCAGUUCACAUCUGAAGACCCUAAAAGAUAAACCCAUGUGCUCUGCAUAUAUACUACAGGAAGCUGCAAUUGGCAGUGUUUUGACAGAUUUCCCAAUCUGUGUAAAUAUGAACCUGCUUUUACCUCAUGCUUGCUAUGUGCCUGCCAGCACUGUUCUGACUAGCUGGUAUAUACUAAUAACACUGAGUCCUUGUAGCAAUCCUGUGUCGAAGGUACUGUGGUUAUGCUCAUGUUACAGAUGAGCAAACUGAGGUCGGGGACAUAGAGCAAUGUGCUUGAAGUCAUAGAAAGUAGUCCCUCUGAGAUUGGAAGAGAUUUGGGAAAAUCUGGCUACAAGGUCCACCCUUACCCACACUGGGCUGUGGGCUAGGGAGCUGUGAGGCCUGGAGGCGUUCCACCCCAGUGGAUGUAUCACAAGGUGAUACCUUGUGACACAAGGUGCAGGAAGGUGGCACCUUUAACAAUUCAUGUUAAUGAUUCCACUGAACCUUAAAACAGAUGCCAGCAAAGGUAACAGGCAAUUGCAUGCCCUCCAUUCAGCCAUCCUCAAGCCCUUCUGGUGCGCAGAGCCUUGGCUGGGGCUUCCUAUUUAACCCCUCUUGGUUAGCAUAUAUGUAGCUGAUGGCUGGGUAGGGCUGCAAGAAAGAGUUGGGGGGCCCUCUGAGCACCUUGACAUCCUUGUCUGAAAGACAUGGGUAUUGGCAGGUGUCUGAACACUGGGAUUGACUGUCAGAUCAUUCCAUGGAAACCAUAUUAAUUUGAAAAGGGAAGAGUGGGUGCUAGAGUAAGAGAAAGAUCUUGGCAAAAACCUGAUAGGCGCUUUUCCACCAUUGGGUUGACCAGACAGGGCCACAAAGCUGAUUCAACAGGAUUAGCAAAAAUUGCUUUGUUAGACAUAGGCGCAGCGUGACAUGUGCUACAGCAAAGGCAUUUGGCAGGAUUAACCUGCCAAGGAUAAAGAUGUAGCAGACAAGGGGCUGAAUUAAUGGACUGGCAUGACCGAAGCGGGGAAAUCUAUUUGCAUGCGAUAUUAACUGUGCUAAUAAACUCUGAACUGGGCUGGGCAGCCUCUUUAAACCAGGGUUUUUUAUUUCAAAGCCCACCUGGAAAGCUACUGCCAAGAUGGGCUAAAGCAAGCAGGCUCUACAAUUUGCCUUCUGGUUUCAUUUUUGCCAUCAUCUUAAAGACAUGCCGUCUUCAAUGCCUGUCCCAGCAUGCAUGCCUUGCUGACCAUGCAGAAUGAUCCUGAUGCCUCAAAACUUGGGUGCCAAAAAUAUCCUAGUUAGAGGGUUAGUGCCUAUGAAAUAAGCAAUGAAGAAACACAGGUACAGCACACUCCAGGAAAUACCUAAUCAGAGUGAGCUGUUUGUGUGUUCUGAUUCCCUAUAAGUCAGAAUGGGAGUAGGGUAGGUAAGCAAGAUAUCCAGGAUGGUGUCACAGGCCUGUGAUGGUGUCACAGGGUGGUGUCACAAUCCCAGCAGCUUUUGAGGCUGAGGCAGGAGGAUUGCAAGUUCAAAGCCAGUCUCAGUAACUUGGCAAGGCCCUAAGCAACUUAGCAAAACCUUGUCCCAAAAUAAAAUAUGAAAAGGAGCUGUUGAUGUGGCUCAGUGGUUCAGCACCCCCAGUUCAAUCCCCAAUAGCCUGCCCUGCCCCCACCAAAAAAAAAAAAAAACCACAAGAUACCUAGGAUGGAAAAUCCCAGGAAGCACUCAUUGUCUGGCUCAGGAGAAAUGGAAAUCAAGGUCAGCACCUGGGAGAAAGGGCAUUCUUUCCUCACUCUCCUCUUCCCCCUAACCCCACCCUGCCACAGGUUACCGUGGGAACAGUGUAAGCUCCACCCAUUCAAAAACAAGAGUGCAUUUAAAUACACUUAACACAGACACGGACUGCACAGCUGAGUGUUGGGAGAUGGUCUCAGGAAGCAUUCUAGAGAUAGGAGUUGAGCCAAUAAAAAUCGUGUUACCUCUCGGGUUACUGCUGUGGGCAAGUAGAGACCUCUGCAAGCCCAAGUAGAGCAUCGCUCAGGUUAUUCCAACGGAGGGGCUGGAGAGCCCAGCGUUCAUCCAGCAACUCCUGAUGGUCGCUGAUGUUAACUCCCUGCAGUGUCGACUAGACAUACCCUGCAAGGAAGUGGCUGAGUGGAGAAUCACACCCUGUACACACAAACAGUGGUGCUGGGCAUUUACAGUGCCCGCUAUGUAGGCACGAUCUAAUUUUCCUCUGAACACCUUGAGGCUACAUCAGACUCUCAUUGUGCUGAGGCUCCUUAGGAAUGUUGGUUUUUUAACAGAGUCUUGGAUCCUAUGUCUAGUUUAUCAGAAUCCCUGGAGUGAGGGAUGGAUUCCUACACUUCACUCCCAAAUAGGCUAAAUCAGGAUCUUGGUGUUGGGGUAGAGCCCCCAAAUCCCCCUGCCCCACCCCACAGCCCUCCUGAGCCAGUCUGAUUGGUGUUUAACAUCUGCCACUAAAUCUGUUGACCUGAGAUAAACCUGGAAGUGGUGGAUGAGGAAACACCUCCCAACUUUCUGUCACAGACAUCUUUUUCUUUCCCCCCCAGCACUAACAAGCAGAAAAGUAUUUCCCCAAUUUGAAACCUCUGGUGUUAUAAAGCCUAGAUACAUGUCAUGUCCUUGAUAUUGCCUGUACCAAGUGAUCCUUGUUUGGUGUCAAAAAAAAAAAAAAAAAAAAAAAAAAAAAAAAGAAAGAAAGAAAGAAAGAAAAAGAAAAAAAAACAGAAUGAGCUGGAUUGACCCUAUAAAACUCCUGUCAAAUAAGGACAUAAGCAAGUCCAAGUGGAAAAUAAAGAAGUAAAGGCUUUAAUUACAAUUGAUGAAUAAUUCCAGAAUACUAGGUGUCUUGCAUUCUCUUAAAAUGCUCCUGAGGUACCUACAGGUCCUUAAAGAGGCAACAGAAAAAAGGCUCUGAGGAGGGAGGGGGCCAGGGUGUGUUCCAGCAGAGCCACUCCCUUUGGGCUGUAUGAUACAGGGCCUGCAGGGUAAGUGGGGGCUGAGGUCUAGCCCAGGCUCCACUGGGCAGGCGGCACAUCCUGUCAAGGGGCACCUCUUGAGCUGACAGAAGGCGCUGUUCGCAGGAAAGGCCUGGCUUCUCACAUUGCAGAAGGCACCAUAUGGUCCAGCCCUGUGCUUCAAGAUAUGAAAGAAAGAGUGGAGCUGGCAUCCAGGAGGAGGGGUGGCAGUGGGUGGGCAGGAGGGCUGGACCACCAGGGGCACGUGGGUUUAUACAGGGUGUUCAGAUUUUAUUCCAGAAUGUUGGGAAGCAAGAGAUUGGAAGCAGGAGAGUGAUGUGAUCUGAUUCAUGUGUCGAAAGGGUCGCCCAGGCUGCUGUGCAAAGAAUGAAUCAGAGGGACAAGUUCAAUUCUUAUGCCACCAUCCAGGCUAGAGGUGGAGGGAGAGCUCUGGGCUGGAGGUAUGGAGCGGCCACAGAGAUGAAGAAAUGCACUAAAGAUGCAAAUAGUUGGACUUCCCAGACAUUUUAGUGAUUCAUAGGGGACACUAAAAACAAAUUUUUACCAUCAUGGUGCCCACACACACACCCACCUUGCAAGACUUUACUCCGUGAGUGAGCUGAAGGCUCCUGUGCUCCAGGUGCUGUGUGGGUGCUGACUUGCCAGGUGACUCCCUGAGGGCCUCAUCCUCAGAGUCACCAUUUACCAAGACACACAGAAGAGUUAACAGUAAUGGAAGCGUACAAAAAGUGCAAGUCACGGAAGCCAGGCCCUUGGCUGAGCAAAGGACAAGGAAGGCCACCCACAGCUGGCCCCAGAGCCCAGACUGAAGCAGGAGGAGUUUUCUACUUAGAAAGGAACAUGCAACAUUGCAGUUGAAUGUAGAUCCAGAGAAGCAUGUGUGUGUGGUAUACCAUGGGCUCUACUGCACUGCACAGUCUGGGAUAGACAGAAAAGAAGCUAGAGGUAAAAGGAAGGGGCUGUGGAAUCCAGGACUCCAUCCUGGGAAUGAUGGGCAAUCUUAACGGAGGUUAGGCCAGAUCAGGCUGAGCCUGUGGAAGAGUUGAUCCAAUUCCUGUGGAUCAGAGUGGGUUAGCCUAGAGUUAGGGAGAUGAAUUAGGAAGAUCUGUGUACACACUAGCACUGUAUAUCCCUAAAAUGCAUGGUACCAUCUUGAUUCUCCUGACGGAUUCAUCCGAGCUCUCAGAAAAGAGUAAAUGAGCCACAGGGAUCUUGGUUUAAAUCUUGGUUUAAAUGCUUGAUGAAUUCCCAGCCAGUAUUCAUCAAGCAUCUCCCAGGUGGCCAGUGCUGGAGAUCCACUGGUGAGGUUGGGAGACCACUCAUUCCAUGAUAAGUGCUGUGAAGGAAGAGUGCUGGAUGCCCCAAGAACACAUUACAGAGAAGUCAGAGCUAGUAGGCAGGUUGGAAAUCCAGAAAGUGACUACGGAGCUGAAUGAAGUCUGAAGAAGUUGUAUCCAACUAUGCAACAUGAACAUGCCAGGUGGAGGAAGCAGCUUGUGUAAAAGCCCCCGGGGCAGGAGGGAAAUUCAAGUACAGAGAGCAAGAACAGUGAGGGAUGAGGGGGGAAAAAAGGUGGGGCCACACCUGAGCCUUGCAGGUACCUUCUUGCAAGCAUUUUAAGUCAAAACAUGAUAAUCGUUUGUUACUUUGAGAUGAUCAAUUCUUUAUCAUCUGUCUCUGACCCACUAGGCACUGGUGGGUCCUAGAUAGAACCAAGAAGUAGAACUGGAUGCAGACAGGAAACUGGGGUCAUGAGCAGAACUGACAAUUCCCGAGUCCCCUUUGCCCUUCAGUUGCAGGGGUGGGAUAGUGCCGGUACAUGGGCUGAUGGCAGUUUACUUUCUCAGACUUGUGCAGGUCCACCCAGUACCAAUAUACCUUCCCAUGCACAUGCUUGAACAGAAGAGCACAUCGACUUUGCUGAAGGCUCUAGCCAUAAGCAGUGUCAAGUCACAGUCCCCUUGCUUACUUUAUAAAAGACCUCAUCCCACUAUCUGCAGCUUCCUUAUUCUCAGAGUUAAGUGGUUUUUGGUCCUCAAGACAGUCCACAGAAAUUUUAGUCCCAUAAGAAAAAAAAAAUUCCAGGUGUCUCUCUACCUGACGGUUGGAAAGCCAGCCAUAUUAACUUGAUCAGCACCAACACCAUCAAAUAUGCACACUUAUUGAGCACUUUCUGUGUGCCAGGUUUUCUGAUCUUAUCACAUUUUUUCAGAUACUGAAAUGGAGGCCCAGAAAGGUUCAGUAACACAGGCACAAAGGGACAGUCGCAAUGCAGCCCAGACCCACUUGUUUCUAAAGUCCUGGUGUUCAACCAGGGUGCCACACAGCAACCCAUUCCCCAUACUGGAUGUCCAGUAAGCAGGCUCCGAGAUGGAAGAACUGGAGGUGUGGGGCCUAGAGACCACCUGCUCCAGGGCCCCCCCUCAUCCAGUGAGCAAUCUAAAUGGGACGAGGUACCCAGAUUUGCUGUGUCCACCCAGGGAAGGUGGUAGCCAAGCUAGAGCUGGAACCCUCUCUACCCUGGUUCCUCCUGCUGUUCCUUAACCCCACUAGUUCUUUCAUGCCUCCGGACUUCCUGCUCCUAACACAGUGGACACAGUAUGACCUUCACAGAGUUCAGGCAUCAACACCUGGCCCCAGCACCAACAUUCCUUCUGCCCUGGCACACAGAGAGCCACACACCUGGUUCCAUGUCCUUCUUGGGAGUCUGGGAUGCACAACUCACAUUUGAUAUAAAUCCUCAGCUUGGCAGGUCUAUGGAUCACAGAGACCCGAGUGUAGCAAUUACAGCCUAAGACCCCAACAGGAAUUGUAGACAGUAAAAUCCAGAUAUUUCCGGACUCCAAGGCCUCGGUGGUUUAUGGGGCAUGGUGUUAAGUCAUGACUGAUGAAUUACUCAAAGUUUCUGCUUCCCCCAACUCUGGCAAGAACUUUGGCAGAACUUCUGUGCCACAUCCAAUACCAGGAACUUGCCAAGUCUGUGUCCUUAAAAUGAAGCGGGUUCCAAGAUAGAUGGCAGGAAGUGGAAAAUGUGAUUUUUCUUGAUUGGGUAACUAAGAACCACGCAGCAGGCAGGAGCCAUUUGAGACCAAAGAGCUGUUCAUUUAAAGUGUUUAUUGACACCUGGAAACAGGCAUUUAAAUGCUGUUUUCACGUCAGUUUACACUACAUAAUUUCAUAAUGGUGAUGAAAUCCAGGCAGACACCAAAAGGAGAGUUCCAAAGCCAUUUUAUUUUCUGCUGGAUUUCCUUAGCAGAAACUCAAUAUCCGAGAUGGGCUAAAGCUGGGGAAAGGAUGAGCCCAGCAGGUCACUAGCUAACAGAAAGGCAAGGCACCCCGGGGGCUCCUUGUUUGGUGGGCCACCUGGUUGCUUUCCAGCUAGCCUGUUUUUGUUGGUUUGACUGCUCCAAAUCCUCAGUGAUCACUCUUAUUUUGUGUUUGGAAUGUGUUCCCCAAUCAGUUGGGGACUGGGUGGGAAGAUUGUUCUCUCCAUCCUUGAAUGAUUCCAUUUUGACCUCCUCAAUUCUCCCCAGAAGACAGGGGGGCUGGCUCUGAGUUCAGCUGUCAAGGUCUGGGACCUUAACAAGCAUAUGAAUCAAGACAGCAGUGGUCCUAGUGAAGAUAUUACUUAGGAUACAAAGUGAGAACCAUCUCCAGUUAUCUACAUUUGGCCAGAGAAUAAUGGAAAUCCCUGCAUUCUUUCCCAAUACCAAUGGGGAAAAUAGCUUUACCAAUGGACCUUAAAAAUUACUGGUAAUCACUGUACCUUGUGAGGCAGAGACACUCAGGCUGUGAAGGGUUGUAUUCUCCUCUGAGGGUUUGUUGAAGGCAGAUUCUCUACCCAGAGAAACACUAAUGCACUGGGUAAGUUUGUAUCCAAGGUGCAGGAUCCCCUCGGGAUGGGGAAGCGGGCAAAAGAUACAAGAAAGAAAAGUGUCUCAGAUGGGACAUAAGAGAGAGGGAGAUGGAUGAUGGAGACUUUUUGCAUCCCAAUCCUAACCCUGCUGCUCUCUCUCCUCUCUCAGCAACAGCACAGCAGAGAUGAUCAUGUGCCCUUCAGCCACCCCAGGAUGUCCCAGCAUGGUGCGGUGGGGCAGCUGGUGUUGUGAAUCAGGCCGUUGCCAAUCAGAGAACGGCUACUUCACAACACCAGGGUCACACCCCACCACAGGCAGCUCUGCACCAGAACCAACAAGCGUCCACCACGUCCACCAUGAGGCAGCCAAGCCCUUCACAGAAGGUCAUCCCAGGACACCUCCUCCCAGCUCCAGAACCCGGGCCUGCAGCUCUCUACUUCCUGUCCUGCUGCUGUGGCUGCACCACAAACACUAGCGUCCUGUGGCUGCUAUUUAUCUGAACAUGAAUAACUCCAAUUUUAAAAGAAAAAUCCAAUCCCGGCAGGAUUAACUUUCUAUGGAGAUACUGGUGCUACCAGACUUCCCACAGGGAAAAUGGUGUCAGGGGGCCAUCAGAAGGGUUAAGCACCACCAAUAGACAUUUCCUCCUAAGUGCAGGAGACACAGGUGUUGAGGAGCUGAGACCUUUGCCUUGAUCUUUAAGGAUAGUACCUUGGAACGGAGCAAAGUAGAGAGAGGCGAGGACCCAAUUAUAGGAUGGUAGCCUCAGGGAACAGUUCCAGAGAGAUGGAAUUCUUUAGAGCCACACAUGUGGGGACCAUGUCUGUUUCCUAGAGGGACCCAGGUUCUCUGAAGAGUGAACUCCUUUCCAGGAGGAGAGCCCCACAGCUCUCCAGCAGGCACAUGGCCCAAAGACAUGAAUGUCAGACGACAGCCAAACACAAGACGUACCUGAACUGAAGGUGGGCUUUCUUUCCUCAGGUCCUGAUAGUCAGGGACCUCAAAAAGUUGGAAAUCUAACUGGGGUCUCCAGAGCUUGAGUGUUUUUAUGCCUAGUAGAUCUCACAUGAGAUGCCACCAUUUUUGAGACUUCAGGCAGAAUUCCCAAGAUGGGGUGGUGAGGUUGCCCAGCAGUCUUUGUGAAGCACUAGGGAAAAGGAAGAUGACCAUCUCUUUGCCUUUGCAUAGACGAGAGAUCCAGACCCACUCUGAUCCAGCUUUACACUGUGCAUUAUUUGUACAAGGCUUUGCUUGGUGUCCCAUUGAAAGCCAAAGAGACGGACAAAAAUCAAGCCCUGCACAAACCUUGUACAACAUCGAGGUUCCACAAACAGAGCCUGGGUUAAUCAGUGCCACCUUGACCUUGGUCACCUUAGAGCCUGGGAGGUAAAUCUGCUCCUGAGAAGUUCUGUCUCUUACCCCAUCCCCAGAGCACCAAGAGCAUCCCUGAAAUUUGUAAUAAAUUGUGUUUACCUCUCGGAAUAAAAGUCCAAGAUUUUAGAGAGGUCCCCCUGCUAUCUCCUUAGAACAUACAAACUCCAUUUCUGAGAAUUCAUCCACCGCUGACUCCAUGACCACCAACAGAGUCCAGGCUAGCAUCACUCACAAAGUGGCCUUUGGAGACAGCUGCCACAUGUGGGACAAGCAGAAUUCCUGGCUUCAUCGCCCACUGCUAUGUCACGGUCUCCAAUGGGGACAGUGACCCAGGCCAGUAACUACACGUGAACAAGCCCUCUAAGGGAUUCUUCAGGAAGUCUUUUUGGCCUCCCCACAUUCAUUCAGCAUGAUCUUCUUAAAACCUGCCUCCAAAUCAUGCAGACUCUAUCUUGACCUUGAGGAAGCUGCCUGCAAAAAGUUGGCAACUUUUUCAACCUCACUACGGUGCGACCCAUGAUUGGCAGGGUCUCCCUUGUGUGCUCCCCAUCCCCUCUUUUGAUGCAUCUUGCUCCCUCCACAAAAACCCUUCCUCCUCUUCCCCUGUCCCAAGGCCUUUUCCAGGAUGCCCUCCGUCUCCACUAUCCUCCCAUGAUCAAUGCCAGUCUGCCCUCUAGAUUUCAGAGAGAGCUGACUCCACGCUCUUCUGACAACCCAGGUCAGGUAGCCGCUGUUCAGCGCACUCUGCAAGCUGAAUUCUGGCCUUGCAGAGCAUUCAUCUCAGUCUGGCGUUCUGCAUUCAUUAGCAGGACGCUGCUGCAUGUGUCUUUCCCUUUGGCCAGAAAUUCCUUGAAGGCGGUGACAUUCGCCUCCACUCACUGCUGCAGCUGCACCCCAGCCCCUUGUCUGUGUGUGCAUGGAGCAGUCACUCUGCAACAGAAUGUCCUCUCAAUGAAUGAAUGAAUGCACACAGCCCGAGCCCUGAGUGUCCUUCAAGGCUCUCGUUCUUCGGAAGCCCCGGGUCUUUGUCUUCUUUCAGCAGCAUAACAGCAGCAGGCACUGCUGAGGAGACACAGGGUGCCAGGCGCUGCCCAGAGCACUGUGUACUGCCAGCCAUUGACUUGGGGCCCAGUUCCUCCUGACAGGCAGGCCCUGGAACCACCCCAGCAGGUAAGUGCCAAAGCCACGCCAUCAUACCGUUGGUAAUUGACGACACUGCUAUUUAAACUCAGGCCCCACAAUCUGUCCAGAGCCUCUGCUCCAUGCUACUAAGGAGCCAAGAUGACAAAGCUGAACAGGGAAGCCCCUGGGGCUUGCUUCCAGGGACCCAGCGAAGCCCUCUCCAUUCUCAGAGGCUUCCACUCUGAUUUCCUAAACUAGGCAGUGUUCUCUCCCUUCAUGCAUCUGUAAAAGGUUAGAUUCUAACCUUGUUUCAAGCACUUCGUAAUAGAACCUGAUUAAAAACCUCAUAAAAUAUAAAACGGGGUCAUGUCCAGAGAGAGAAUGAGGGAACUGUUUCAGAUCCGCAGGAAGCUCUAUUUAAUUUUGGUGUCAAGCUGGUGAAUUCUUCCGAGGUUUGCACAGUGACCUUCAGUGACCUACAAAGACGGAUGUGCAUUCCCCAGAACUGUUUUGGGGAGCACGACCCUAGGGCUCCCUUCCCAGUUUUUGACUUCAGCCAAAGCCCCAGCCCUGGGCCAUAUACCUCUGCCCACAGCGUGGCUUCUUUUCCAAAAAUGCAUCCUACUUGAGAACAGCCUCCCCCCAAGAACAUUCUGGACCUUCUAUUUAGGUAGAUUUGACACCCUCCAUAAGAAAGAAGAAUGUCCCGCUCCUUUUUUCUGGAACCUUGCUCUAACAGGUUCUACCAUCUGAAGCCCUAAGUUUAAAAGCUCUGCCUUGUAACUUCCAUAGGGUCCUACAGCUGUAGCUAGCCAUAUUUCAAACCUUAGAAUUCUCUGAGGAGGCCCAGUGCAGACAACCAAAAGCUUUGGAUAUAGGGGGCUUGUCAGACACACACUUUACAAACUGGUCAUCGUCUGCUGACCCCGGUUAGCACAUCAGGUGAAAGCUGGGUUUAAAAGGAACUUACUUAAUAUCGAAUAUCAAAUAAACAGCAAUGGUUCUUAGAAUGUGGUCCUGGGGCCUAUGGCAGCACCAGUAUCCCUGAGAACUUGUUAGUAAUGCAAAUAGAAAUUCCUCUGGUGAAGCUCAGCAGUCUGUGUUAACCUGCACCCUAGGGGUUCUGAAGUGCACACAAGUUUGAGAACCACAAAAAAAAAAAAAAAAAAAAGGAGUGAGAGAUGGAAAUAGAAAAGAAUCUCUAGUACCAAGUGAUAAAAGGGCAUGGUAUUGAAAUUUCCAUUCCUAUCAAUGGUAGCCAGUGAAACAUUUAGGGCAUUUACUGAGUGUUUGAAUAAUAAUUUUUAAAACCCAUUUUUCAGAUCUUAAAAGUAAAUCUCCAGGUGUUCUAGGCUGUGGAAACCUGACCCUUCCCAUCUUCACACUAAACAUGCCCAGGAACAAGCUUUUAUCCCUCGCCACAGGGAGGACAGAAGAUUGAGGGAACAGAGGAAGCACUUACGAAAAGCCCACAACAAGGUCAGGAGACCAUGGGGGCGUGAUGUCCAGAAGGCCAUUGGUCUGGGCAGUCCCCAGGUGUGGGAGUCAUCCUGGACAGAUUUACCUCUGACUCGGCACCAUAUUGCCGUGCUAGCUGUAUGACCCUCAGCUUCUCACUUAACUGUUUCUGGGACCAGUAAAAAGAGGAAGUAUGGCUCAGCCAGCUCCCCUCACCAGUCGUCAAGUCAGUUAUGGGCUGAAUUAUGUCUCCCUCGCAUCCUAUGUGGAAGCUUUAACCUGGGAUGCGAUUGCAUUUGGAAUAGAGCUUGAAAGAGGUCGUUCGAGUUAGACGAGGUCGCGAAGGUGAGGUCCUAAUCCAAUAGGACUGGUGUCCUCCUAAGAAGAGGACCCAAGGAGGAGCACUCAAAAGGAAAGACCUGGUGAGGAGAUGACAAGGUGACCAUUUGCAAGCAAGGAGAAAGGCCUCAGGAGACACCGAGCCUGCUGGUGCCUUCCUCUUGGACUUCUAGACUCCAGAACUGAAAUAAGUGCAUGGUGUCUUAGCGGCCCCAUUUGUAAUAUUUUGUCAUAGCAGCUCUAGCAAACUAAUGCAGUGCCCUAACAGAUAUGGUGAAGGCUCCAGAAUCCUGAGCCACAGGUAUCAGAUACCCUGAAACUACAGUCAGAUUCUUUAUGUAAGCCUUGAAUAUGUGGGUGACAGAUGCCAUGGAUGUCCCCACCAUCGUCCCAGCCACCUCUGAGUGCCCUGUCGCCAUAAUGGAACGUGUCCCUGAGGCUGACUGUAUCCACUCCACCCAAGUGCUGGACCUGAGGCUGUUUCUGGAGCCACGGGGUCUGCUCAGUCUAAGUGCAGGCUCUAUCUGCUGGGAAGUACCUGGGAACACCCCUGGGGCUGCCUUCCACCAAGCAAGCAUGGAAGACACAGUUGCCCCAACAUUGUGCCCAGUCCUCAAGUGAUUCCCCAGAAAGUUGGAGCCCCCAUUGCCCAUGUGACCACCGAUGCCUGCUUUAUUGGCUCGUAACUCCUCCCCUCUCUCAUACCCUCUGCCAUGCCCCGAACGCCCGCUUCUUGGAAUGUUCUCCCAAAUAAACUACAGGUCUCAGAAUCUGCCUUUUAACGGAAUCUAAACUAAGGCACAUGAGAAAGAAAACUGGGGAUUUUGUUAUUUUUAUUUUUCAACUUUGUUUUAGUAGAUUUAAUUCAUUUAGAGCAAUUUGGGGUUCAUAGAAAAAAAUCAAGUUGCAGUAUAUAGGUUUCCAGUAUCCUCCCUCCCCACACACUCAUAGCUACUGCUGCCAGCAUCCCUCACCAGAGAGGUGCGUUUAUUACAACUGAGGAACCUACAGUGACACAUGAUUGACACCCAAAGUCCAUUGUUUAUAUUAGGGUUCACUUUUGGGGGGGGCGGGUGAGGAGGGACCAGGGACUGAACUCAGAGGCACUCAACCACCGAGCCACACCCCCAGCCCUAAUUUGUAUUUUACUUAGGGACAGGGUCUCACUGAGUUGCUUAGUGCCUCACUUUUGCCGAGGCUGGCUUUGAACUCGCAAUCCUCCUGCCUCAGCUUCCCAAGCUACUGGGAUUACAGGUGUGCACCAUUGUGCCCAGCUUAGGGUUCAAUCUUGGUGGUGUAUCUUCUAUGGAUUUGGACAAACAUAGAAUAACAUGUGUCUCUCACAAGGUUCAUUGUCCCGGGUGUCCUCUGUGCUCUGUCUGUUCAUCCUUCCCAUUCCCUAACCCCUGGCAACCACGGAUGUUAGCUUUGCCUUUCCUGGAAUGUUAUGUUGUUGGAAUUGUACAGUAUGUAGCCUUUUCAUUAAUUUAUUAAUAUGCAUUUAAGUUUUAUUCAUGUCUUUUCAUUGUUUGGAGAGCGCCAGAUGACCUUGGCAUAGGUCAUGACUUUUUAGAUACACACCAUGAAAGAAAACAUUGGUAAGCUGGACUUCUUUAAAAUUAAAUUUUCUGCUCCAUGAAAGACUGUUAAGAGAGCAAAAUGGCAAGCUACAGACUGCCAGAAAAUAUUUCCAAAAGACAUAAUAAAGGACCCUUGACCCAAAUAUACAAAGAACUCCUAAAACUCAGCAUUAAGAAAACUCAGUUUUAAAAUGGGCAAAACACCUGAACAGAUACCUCACCAAAGAGACGAGAUGACACAUAAGCAAAGGAAAAGAUGCUGAACAUCGGGUCAUCAGGGAAAUGCCAAUCAAAACAGUAAUAAAACCCCACUGCACCCCCAUUAGAAUAGCCAAAAUAGAGAAUAUGGCCCCCACCAAAUGCUGGGAGGACGGGAAUCAACUGUAGCUCCUCUCAUUCUCUGCUAGGGAAAUGCACAAUGGUACAGCCACUUUGUAAAACAGUUUGGCAUUUUCUUCAAAAAAAAAAAAAAAAACUAAACAUGUCUUACUACAGGAUCCAGUAUUCACAGUUCUUGGCAUUUUGCCCAAAGGAGUUGAAAAUUGAGGUCCACACAAAAACCUGCAUAUGGAUGUUUAUAGCAGUUUCAUUCUUAAUUACUGAAUCAUGGAAGCAACCAAGAUGCCCUUUAGUAGAUAAAUGGUUGAUAAACUGGCACAUCCAGACAAUGGAAUAUUAAGAAAGCUGUGGGUUUGGGGGGGCGGGGUUUGUUGUUGUUAUGGUUGUUUUUAGUACCCAGGGGUGCUUUACCGCUGAGUUGCUGAGGCUAACUUUGAACUUGCAAUCCUCCUGCCUCAGCCUACCCAGCUGCUGGGAUUACAGGUGUGCACCACCGUGAAAUCUGUGUUUUUAACCCCAAACAGACUCAGGUGCAUUCACAUACAUACAACCCAAACAGAAUAUGCCUGGGGCACAGCAAGCUGCCAGUAAGCUCCAGAACCCAAGUUCUGAUCACAGGAAUGACACGGUAAUAGUAACAGCCAUCAUCGUAAUGUUGAAGCAGCCAUACUCGAGCCCAACAGACAGAGGGACAAAUCCCAGCUCUAACACGACUAAUCUCAGGGAUAAAUAACUUUGCUGGGUCUGAAUCUGAUAAGUCAGAGCCCUGAGCAAGACAAAAUGGAGAGUGUCUGGCACAUGGUAUGUGCUCAGCAGAAGGCAGCCUUGGAGCUGUGUGGCUCAGAUGUCCCUAUGAGAAAGGACUUGCUGUUCAGCCACAAGGAGCACAGUGAGCCCCCAGCUACAGCACCUUCCAAUAUGGCUCAGCUUCUGAGCUGAGGCCAGCUCUUUCCAGGCAGCCUCCAGCUAAUGACUAAGCAUAGCAGAGAACUGGGCCAGGCCAGUUCCAUCCAACAAGGAACUCCCCCAAGUAGACAUCUGUGUCGGAGCUCCCCCUUGGACUGGUUGAGAACAUCCGAGUCCUCCUUGCCUAGUCCUGCUUCCUUCCCUUUUUAUCACUCUCAGGCCUCCCUUUCCUCUGCCUCCUCUUCUUGGGUCCUCUGAAAAGAUGAUGCUAACACAUCUUUCUUUUCCUUCUUCUUCUGUUUCUGCACCUGCUGCAUGAAAUAGUAGUAACAGAGACAGAUUUUCAUAGAACUUUGCUUGAGGGCCUUCAGGUUUUUAAUCCCCUUGUGUUUCUCCAAAGUAAUCAGGAAUAGUCAGGGAUCUUCUGUGGCAAUCAGUGGAAAUAGACUCUAGUGAAUUUAAGAAAAGGCACAAGAAUGUACCAGAAUGCCACGGGAUACUCAGAGAACUUAAGAAGUCAAAGUACCAGACUGAAAAAGAACGAACGCAACAGUUUGUGAUCUCCUGGAAUUAGUGAGCUCUUUUCUUCAGAACACCACUGUUGACGUCAAAAAACUCCAGGCAAAUUUUGGUGCUUCUAAUGUCCCUGUGUUCAAAUUCCAAGGAGAAGGUGUCUCAUUGGCCAGGUGGAGGCAGGGCAUUUUGGAAAGCAACCCAUGGAAACAGAAAGCAACUCUCCCUCCAUUAAAGCAGCAUCCAAAGCAAGAUCAGAGUGUGAGAAACAUGCUCACCUGUCCAAACCCAAAGAAUGGACUGACACGCAAAGGUGCAGUCAGGCUUUAAUGACAGUCUUGCAAGAUCAGGUAUCAGGGGCAGGGGGGAGCAGGUACACCCCAACCUGUUACAAUCAGCAUUUUAUCCCCUAGAGCACAAGGUCACCCCCUGCCUCCUCCUUCCUCAAUGGCUUGAGUACUGUGGGGUACACAAUCUUCCAGGAUGUUGGAACGUCCCCUAGGUUUUACUGUCUCCUUAUGGGUUGACGAAAUAGACCUUUAGUUGUUCCUACUUCCCUUUGUUUUGUUGUGGCAGGAAGGUUUUGGGGACUGAGUGCAUUUUGGCACAUGGGAAGUUUAUCUUUGUUGGUCAGACCAGCCCUUUCCCCCCUCACCUCCUGUUUGUCAAGGGGCUGUGAGGCUGUCACACUCCGGUGUUAACUGCUGGUAAACAUUUGUUCUAUUUCCUCUUCAGUUGACUUUCUCACAUCCUAAGACUAAAAACUGUAUUCUGACAAUGGACCACUGGACUUCCUAUUUCUCACUAGGGUACCUGUCAUCAGAAAGUGAUUAGAUCUACAAAAUGGCUAACUCUACCCAGAGAAUUUCAUAGAACCCAACGGGAAAAGGAAAAAUGUACCUUGCCUCAAUUCUUACCAAGAGCUCAAAGCAACGUCUCUCUCUGUAUAUGAAUUUCAUUUGACACGACAGGAGCCAUCUUGAAUGUUAACCUUCAGGAUUUCCCCCAGAGUGACCCUAACUGGGCUCCCAGCAAACUAUAAAUAGACAAAACAAUUAGCAUAGCGUAUGAGACUUUACAACAGACCCUGCCACCAGGAAUAUGUACGACUCUGAUGUUAACUUACAAUAAGCCAGGUAGGUGCAUUCUGGCUAAGAUUUAAAAGAAAAAAAAUCACUUCUGUCCUAGCCAUAUAUAAAUCCCUUCUUUCUGACCCAGAUUGCAGUGAUCCAACUGAUCUUGCUGCUGCCCAGGACCACCCUUCUGUCAGUAAGUGUCUGAAUAAAUUGCACUCUGUGCCAUCCUA